ACGAACGCUGGCGGCGCGCUUAACACAUGCAAGUCGAACGGAAAGGCCUGCUUUCCCUUGUGGAUUGCGGGUACUCGAGUGGCGAACGGGUGAGUAACACGUGAGUGAUCUGCCCCCAACUUGGGUAUAAGCCUGGGAAACUGGGUCUAAUUCCCGAUAGGACUGCAGGGUGGUGCCUGUGGUGGAAAACGAUUUUCUAGUGGUUGGGGAUGAGCUCGCGGCCUAUCAGCUUGUUGGUGGGGUAAUGGCCUACCAAGGCGGCGACGGGUAGCCGGCCUGAGAGGGUGGACGGCCACAUUGGGACUGAGAUACGGCCCAGACUCCUACGGGAGGCAGCAGUGGGGAAUAUUACACAAUGGGCGGAAGCCUGAUGCAGCGACGCCGCGUGGGGGAUGACGGCCUUCGGGUUGUAAACUCCUUUCGACCGCGAGGAAGCCACCUGGUUGGAAGGGUGGUGACGGUAGUGGUAGAAGAAGCACCGGCUAACUACGUG
Molecule: ribosomal RNA, 493 nt
Filed under: uncultured bacterium
Lineage: Bacteria
Description: partial 16S ribosomal RNA
Rfam family: Bacterial small subunit ribosomal RNA
Source: RNAcentral